AAUAGAUACCCUGGUAGUCCACGCCGUAAACGAUGGAUACUAGCUGUUGGGGGCGACCUCAGUGGCUAAGCGAAAGUGAUAAGUAUCCCACCUGGGGAGUACGUUCGCAAGAAUGAAACUCAAAGGAAUUGACGGGGGCCCGCACAAGCGGUGGAGCAUGUGGUUUAAUUCGAUGAUACGCGAGGAACCUUACCAAGGCUUAAAUGCAGACUGACCGUUUUGGAAACAGAACUUUCGCAAGACAGUCUACAAGGUGCUGCAUGGUUGUCGUCAGCUCGUGCCGUGAGGUGUCAGGUUAAGUCCUAUAACGAGCGCAACCCCUGUUGUUAGUUGCCAGCGAGUAGUGUCGGGAACUCUAACAAGACUGCCAGUGCAAACUGUGAGGAAGGUGGGGAUGACGUCAAAUCAUCACGGCCCUUACGCCUUGGGCUACACACGUGCUACAAUGGCCGGUACAGAGAGCAGCCACCUCGCGAGGGGGAGCGAAUCUACAAAGCCGGUCACAGUUCGGAUCGGAGU
This 519-nucleotide ribosomal RNA is filed under the name uncultured bacterium. RNAcentral's name for it is "bacterial SSU rRNA". It matches the Rfam family "Bacterial small subunit ribosomal RNA", at positions 777 to 1304 of the family's 1533-position model. The record is from RNAcentral.